GGCGCGGUGGCCGAAUGGUUAAGGCGAUGGACUUAAAAUCCAUUGGGUUUCUAACCCUUGCGGGUUCGAAUCCCGCCCGCGUCG
Procambarus clarkii (red swamp crayfish) is the source of this 84-nucleotide non-coding RNA. Lineage: Eukaryota; Metazoa; Arthropoda; Malacostraca; Decapoda; Cambaridae. The record is from the annotation of a RefSeq genome assembly.